This 119-nucleotide ribosomal RNA is filed under the name Chinchilla lanigera (long-tailed chinchilla). The record is from RNAcentral. Lineage: Eukaryota; Metazoa; Chordata; Mammalia; Rodentia; Chinchillidae.
GUGUAUAGCUGUACCACACUGAACAUACCCAAUCUUGUCUGAUCUGGGGGCUAAGCAGGGUUUGUCCUGGUUAGUGGUUGAUAGGAGAGGCUGCAUGACAUAACUUAAUGCUAAAAACA